Long non-coding RNA from Equus asinus (donkey), 3305 nucleotides. NCBI's taxonomy places the organism in Eukaryota, Metazoa, Chordata, Mammalia, Perissodactyla, Equidae. The record is from Ensembl.
AGAGUCCCUGCCUGUCUCCAACCGAUGGCCCCCUCCCUGCCUCAGACCGCACCCCAGCACCCGCCACUUAAACGCCAAAGUGGAGAAUCAAAGCUCUCUAGAGCUGGAAGGAACCUCAGAAACCAUCCCCCUCCAGCCCGUAUGCUUUACCCAAGGAGAAACUGAGGCUAGGGAGGCGAAGUGAGCUGUUGAAGGCCACGUCGCUGGGAGGAGCAGCCCUAGAGAGAGAAUCCAGGUCUCUAGACCCGUGCCAGUGGUCUGGGGGUGGGGAGGGUGUGACUCGGAGCCCUGAGCUCCAGUGACAGGCGGCUGGGACAGAGGAAGCGUUUGAGAGGCGGGGACCGCGUCAGUCUGGACGCUCUGGAGGGAAGCUUCAGCGGCCAUCCCUCCUCGCGCCUUUGUCCCGCCGCGUGGGACUCCAACUGGCCCCUCUGUCCGCGGUGGGGCGCGGAGGACUGGAAGCCGAGCGGGGCACGCAGCCGGGGCUAGCCGCUGGGCCGGGGGGGAGGGCGCGCGGGCCGCCACGGCGCCCUGGGUGGCCCGGGGAGGCUCCUGCCCGCCGCUCCCUGGGCACAGCUCGCCCUGCCGCCGCCCCCGUGCCACCCGGGCCGCCCCGGCCGCUGGAUCCGAGAGUCCGAGCCCCCGGCGGCCUCGCCUUUCAGCCCCGCGCCGCGGGGGCGCACAAGCCGCGGCGCCCAGGCUGGCAGCCUCCCUCCGCCGCUUCCCUGUCGGCGCCCCCGGGCCCGCGUCCGCGCCCCCCGCCACCUCCGUGCCGGCCCCUCCGCCUGCGCCCUCGCUCCCCGCUCCACCCGGGAUCUGAGCCCGGUCCCGUCUCCUGAGCGCUCCAUCCCCGGGUCUCUCCCUCUGACCUCCUGGGCCAGCGUCCUCGAAGUGUGGCCCCGGGACCGGCAGCAGCAGCAGCAUCGCCCGGAACUUGUUAGAAAUGCUGACUCGGGCCAGCCCAAACCUACUGAGUGAGAAUCUCCGGACCCAGCCAGCUGCCUGGCCCAGGCCCUCGGGAGACGGUCGCGCUCGCGCAAGUUUGAGAACCGCUGCUCUGGAGCGCGGACACCGCCUGUCCGACUCCGUCUGGGAGGGUAGACUGAGCUCCCUGAGGACACCGCUCCUGUCUCUGUUCCCUCAGUUAGCGGCUGUGCUGCGCAGCCCUUCACCUCUGCUGAUUGCUGACUGGUGAGGGAGGGAGAACGGUUCCUGCGGGCAGCCCUGCGAGCUUUAAUACAAAUUGUCUUUCCUGGAUCAUCACCAGAAGUGACUUAGAGAUUGACACAAAUUUCCUCAAAGAAUUGAUCCACUUAGCAUCUCUUUAGAUUAAAUCCCAAAUUGUUUACAACGGAGCUGGAAAAGCACUGACUCCGCUGUGAUGGCCUCGCGCACCUGGCCUGGCUCCCACAUCCAGCCUUCUGCCGGAGACCAUGCGCCCUUGCUUUGUGGAUGUCACUUACCGGCUGUAGGAAAAUCUAUCCAAGAAGGUUUGGGAUACAUUUGAAGAUAGCGAUCUAAAGGUUAUUCCCGUUUCAUAAGAAGAGAAUACUUCUCUGCUCCAGAAAAAUGUGGAAAAGUGAAAAAGAUGUGGACAUAUUUUGUCUUUUCCCCCAGAAUAUUCUUUGUUUUUUUUACAUCAUGUUUUCAGUAAAAUUUAAAACACGCGUAACUCUGUAAUGUGUCCCACAGUCCCUGAGGCCCAAGUCUCGGCGUUAACCUGGUGACGGCGAAGGUCAGCCCAGCGGCUGUGGCUUAGCGGAAUGUCUCCAACUAGAAGUCCAUUUUACCACCAGCAACCUGUGAGGCACUCUGCCCUUCACCUGAAGGAGUAAUUCUGAUGAUGGGGUCCGGAUCAGAGAGAGGGGGAGAUUUGGGCUAGGUUGGCCAGGUCCCUCGAGUCCCAUCUCCCAGGUGACCCUCCCACCUGCUUCUGAGUGUAUGAAAGGGCAGAGAGGGGCCGGGCCGGUGGUGCAGCGUUUAAGUUCGCAGGUUCCGCUUCAGCAACCCGGGGUUCACCGGUUCGGAUCCCGGGUGUGGACAUGGCACUGCUUGUCAAGCCAUGCUGUGGUAGGCGUCCCACAUAGAAAGUGGAGGAAGAUGGGCACGGAUGUUAGCUCAGGGCCAGUCUUCCUCAGCAAAAAGAGGAGGACUGGCAGUAGUUAGCUCAGGGCUAAUCUUCCUCAAAAAAAAAAAAAAAAAUUAGAUUUAAGGGCCAGCGCUGUGGCAUAGUGGUUAAGUUUGUGUGCUCCACUUGGGCAGCCAGGUGUUCACGGGUUGGGGUCCUGGUCAUAGACCUAGCACUUCUUGUCAGGCCAUGCUGUGAUGGCAUCCCACAUAAAAUAGAGCAAGAUUAGCACAGAUGUUAGCUCAGGGACAAUCUUCCUCAUCAAAAAAAAAAAAAUUAGAUUUACAGGAAAAAUUUAAGUCAGGUCUGGGCAGGAAAGCACAAAGACUGUGAGGAACAGAGAGGGGGAGUGUCAGGUUCACAGGGAGAGGGCGAAAGAGAAGGCAGGGAGGUUGGGUGUGGCCCCGGGCGGGGCGCUGGGCACAGGUGGAGGGGUGCUGCUUCUGGUGUGGAAUCGGUUCAGCGAACCUCUCUGCCCCUGAGCAACGGAGCAAGUGGGAGACGUGGGGAUGAAAAAGAGGAUCCGGAGCUGGACGGGGAGCUCUGAGUGGCGAGGGUAGGGAAAGGGCGUGAAGGGUGUACACAGAGCACCCCUGGCAUUUACUGAGAGUCUGCCGUGUGCCACAUACGGCUCUCUUAGUCCUCUCAGCCACUCCGAAUAUCAGCAUUACUGUCUCCAUUUUACAGAUGAAGAAACUGAGGCUCAGGAGCACACACUGGCACCAAGUGGACUAGGAAUCAAACCAUUGAACACAUUCUUUCACCUCCAGGUGCAGCAGCAACCUGGGAGACCCGAGUCCCUGUCCUCCUAGGCCUCAGCAGUGCGUGACCUGGAGUGGCAUCAAGCCAGCCUGGGGUUUCCAGGGACCUUCCUGACUGAUUCACCAGAAAGACCCUUUCAUCCCGUCCUGUGCCCCAGAAAGGAACUUACAGGGGCUGGUCCCGUGGCCGAGUGGUUAAGUUUGCGCGCUCCGCUGCAGGUGGCCCAGUGUUUCGUUGGUUCGAGUCCUGGGCGCGGACAUGGCACUGCUCGUCAGACCACGCUGAGGCAGCGUCCCACAUGCCACAACUAGAGGAACCCACAACGAAGAAUACACAACUAUGUACCGGGGGGCUUUGGGGAGAAAAUGGAAAAAAUAAAAUCUUUAAAAAAAAAAAAAAAAAGAAAGAAAGGAAC